RNAcentral lists this small RNA (71 nucleotides) under Staphylococcus aureus. RNAcentral describes it as "HMPRNC0000_1308". The record is from RNAcentral. Lineage: Bacteria; Bacillati; Bacillota; Bacilli; Caryophanales; Staphylococcaceae.
UGAUAUUAUGAAAAUGAUUCCAGGUAUGAAUAAAAUGAAAGGGCUAGAUAAGCUUAAUAUGAGUGAAAAGC